GAUGAACGCUGGCGGCGUGCCUAAUACAUGCAAGUCGAGCGAACAGACGAGGAGCUUGCUCCUUUGACGUUAGCGGCGGACGGGUGAGUAACACGUGGAUAACCUACCUAUAAGACUGGGAUAACUUCGGGAAACCGGAGCUAAUACCGGAUAACAUGUUGAACCGCAUGGUUCAACAGUGAAAGACGGUUUUGCUGUCACUUAUAGAUGGAUCCGCGCCGCAUUAGCUAGUUGGUAAGGUAACGGCUUACCAAGGCAACGAUGCGUAGCCGACCUGAGAGGGUGAUCGGCCACACGGGAACUGAGACACGGUCCAGACUCCUACGGGAGGCAGCAGUAGGGAAUCUUCCGCAAUGGGCGAAAGCCUGACGGAGCAACGCCGCGUGAGUGAAGAAGGUCUUCGGAUCGUAAAACUCUGUUAUUAGGGAAGAACAAAUGUGUAAGUAACUAUGCACGUCUUGACGGUACCUAAUCAGAAAGCCACGGCUAACUACGUG
RNAcentral lists this ribosomal RNA (497 nucleotides) under uncultured bacterium. RNAcentral describes it as "partial 16S ribosomal RNA". It matches the Rfam family "Bacterial small subunit ribosomal RNA", at positions 28 to 507 of the family's 1533-position model. The record is from RNAcentral.